UACGGAGGGUGCAAGCGUUAAUCGGAAUUACUGGGCGUAAAGGGUGCGUAGGCGGUUGUUUAAGUCUGUUGUGAAAUCCCCGGGCUCAACCUGGGAAUGGCAAUGGAUACUGGGCAGCUAGAGUGUGUCAGAGGAUGGUGGAAUUCCCGGUGUAGCGGUGAAAUGCGUAGAGAUCGUAAGGAAGGCCGGUGGCGAAGGCGAGUUCCUGGACAGUGACUGACGCUGAGGCACGAAGGCCAGGGGAGCAAACGGG
Molecule: ribosomal RNA, 253 nt
Filed under: uncultured bacterium
Lineage: Bacteria
Description: partial 16S ribosomal RNA
Rfam family: Bacterial small subunit ribosomal RNA
Source: RNAcentral